Molecule: transfer RNA, 70 nt
Filed under: Microlophus bivittatus
Lineage: Eukaryota; Metazoa; Chordata; Lepidosauria; Squamata; Tropiduridae
Also listed under: 1 other name
Description: tRNA-Ile
Source: RNAcentral
GAAGCGUGCCCGAGAAAUUAAGGAUUACUUUGAUAGAGUAAAAUACAGAGCAUAAAACCUCUCACUUCCU